GUCUCUGUGGCGCAAUCGGUUAGCGCGUUCGGCUGUUAACCGAAAGGUUGGUGGUUUGAUCCCACCAGGGACG
This 73-nucleotide transfer RNA is filed under the name Choloepus hoffmanni (Hoffmann's two-fingered sloth). Its description in RNAcentral is "tRNA-Asn (GTT) (tRNA-Asn-GTT-8-1)". It matches the Rfam family "tRNA". From Rfam's summary of the family: Transfer RNA (tRNA) molecules are approximately 80 nucleotides in length. Their secondary structure includes four short double-helical elements and three loops (D, anti-codon, and T loops). Lineage: Eukaryota; Metazoa; Chordata; Mammalia; Pilosa; Megalonychidae. The record is from RNAcentral.